RNAcentral lists this ribosomal RNA (261 nucleotides) under uncultured bacterium. RNAcentral's name for it is "partial 16S ribosomal RNA". It matches the Rfam family "Archaeal small subunit ribosomal RNA", at positions 744 to 1004 of the family's 1478-position model. The record is from RNAcentral.
GUCCUAGCCGUAAACGCUGCAAGUUAGGUGUUGCAUAUUCUUCGGGAAUGUGCAGUGUCGUAGUGAAGACGUUAAACUUGCCGCCUGGGAAGUAUGGUCGCAAGGCUGAAACUUAAAGGAAUUGGCGGGGGAGCACCACAAGGGGUGAGGCGUGCGGUUUAAUCCAACUCAACGCGGAGAAUCUCACCAGGAGCGACGGCAGGAUGAAGGUCAGUCUAAAGGGCUUACCCAACGAGCCGAGAGGUAGUGCAUGGCCGUCGU